RNAcentral lists this transfer RNA (67 nucleotides) under Halipeurus diversus. Its description in RNAcentral is "tRNA-Phe". Lineage: Eukaryota; Metazoa; Arthropoda; Insecta; Psocodea; Philopteridae. The record is from RNAcentral.
GUUAAAAUAGCUUAAAUUUUAAAGCCUAGCGUUGAAGGUGCUAAAAUGGUUUAAUUACCUUUUAACU